UGUUGAACACAACUUAGAUUUUCUAAGACAUGAACAUGUAACAUCCUUUCUAUCCAGCAACUCCAAAGAACUGCAAUGAGAACGACCUUUUUGAAGUAUCCAAUCUACAACCAUGUAGACCCUUCUAUCUCAAGUUGAUGUGCCACUUCACCAACUAUGAUUCUGAUGUUGAACCAAAUGUCAUAACCUUGUGUUUUGACAUCUAGCUGUUGAAUUCAGCUCCUUCUUCUGCCACUUGAAAGAACUUCCUCCCUUCACAGAAUAAGAGUUCAAUGUUCUCAUAGACUUGAUUAUGGAACCAAGUUUGAGUAAACAUCCUCCAUCCUGCAGGUUUGCAGUUAACUCAUCCAAGCUCACACCUUGAUGAAUCCCUGCUUCUUCUCCAAAGACAUCAGACACUCUGAUGCAGGAGUCUUCAGAAGGACUAGUUAGAAACUAUCCCUUCAGCUAUACCAAGGAUUCCACUUCCUAAAGCAAAGUUGUUUCCAUGAUGUCAAGACUGCUGCCACUUGUUCUUGACUCCAUAGUAUGCAUUAGCUAAUGCACUUUCUUACCUAGAUCAGAAGUAAACUGAUCCAAGUUGUAACACCCUUCUAAAAUACCCCAAUUUAUUAAUUAAAACAACAAAAUAUGAAUCAGAGUAGAUAUGCAAUUUCAGGGUGUCACACUUGACACUUCACACCAUUCACCAAAAUAACUGGUCAUGCUCAUUUAUUAAUCAAAACAAGGCAUUGCACAAUCCGCAGCGAAUAGAAAUCUAACAACACGCAAACCAUGUAAUCACAUUACAUGUAAAACUGUUCAACAACCAAAAAUGAAGACAAAGUAAAACAUCCCGUCCCGAUGUUACAUAUACCAGAGCAUGACCCACUAAGGAACUACACUAGACUCCAAGCACUAGCUUCUACUCAAUCACUG
This 918-nucleotide long non-coding RNA is filed under the name Lathyrus oleraceus (garden pea). Its description in RNAcentral is "Pisum sativum (pea) long non-coding RNA (PSAT_LNC007331)". The record is from RNAcentral. Lineage: Eukaryota; Viridiplantae; Streptophyta; Magnoliopsida; Fabales; Fabaceae.